AGCGAACGCUGGCGGCAGGCCUAACACAUGCAAGUCGAACGAACCUUUCGGGGUUAGUGGCGGACGGGUGAGUAACCCGUGGGAACGUGCCCUUAGGUUCGGAAUAACUCAGGGAAACUUGUGCUAAUACCGAAUGUGCCCUUCGGGGGAAAGAUUUAUCGCCUUUAGAGCGGCCGGCGUCUGAUUAGCUAGUUGGUUGAGGUAAUGGCUCACCAAGGCGACGAUCAGUAGCUGGUCUGAGAGGAUGAUCAGCCACAUUGGGACUGAGACACGGCCCAAACUCCUACGGGAGGCAGCAGUGGGGAAUCGUGCGCAAUGGGCGAAAGCCUGACGCAGCCAUGCCGCGUGAAUGAUGAAGGUCUUAGGAUUGUAAAAUUCUUUCACCGGGGACGAUAAUGACGGUACCCGGAGAAGAAGCCCCGGCUAACUUCGUG
This 434-nucleotide ribosomal RNA is filed under the name uncultured bacterium. RNAcentral describes it as "partial 16S ribosomal RNA". It matches the Rfam family "Bacterial small subunit ribosomal RNA", at positions 29 to 507 of the family's 1533-position model. The record is from RNAcentral.